GAAGUUGUAGUUGUUGGGGCAGCAGUUGUGGUUGUUGAGGCUGCAGUUGUUGUUGUUGGGCCUGAAGUUGUAGUUGUAGAUGCAGCAGUUGUGGUUGUUGAGGCUGCAGUUGUUGUUGUUGGGCCUGAAGUUGUAGUUGUAGAUGCAGCAGUUGUGGUUGUUGAGGCUGCAGUUGUUGUUGUUGGGCCUGAAGUUGUAGUUGUAGGUGAAGCAGUUGUGGUUGUUGAGGCUGCAGUUGUUGUUGUUGGGACAGAAGUUGUAGUUGUAGGUGCAGCAGUUGUGGUUGUUGGGGCAGCAAUUGUGGUUGUUGAGGCUGCAGUUGUGGUUGUUGGUGCAGCAGUUGUGGUUAUCGGGGCAGCAGUUGUAGUCGUAGGUGCAGCAGUUGUGGUUGUCGGGGCAGCAGUUGUAGUCGUAGGUGCAGUAGUUGUGGUUGUAGGGACAGAAGUUGUAGUUGUUGGUGAAGCAGUUGUGGUUGUGGAGGCUGCAGUUGUUG
This is a long non-coding RNA of Lates calcarifer (barramundi perch), 493 nucleotides long. RefSeq lists it as uncharacterized. The record is from RefSeq and is a predicted model, not a curated record. NCBI's taxonomy places the organism in Eukaryota, Metazoa, Chordata, Actinopteri, Centropomidae. The transcript has 3 exons.